UAGGGAAUCUUCGGCAAUGGGGGCAACCCUGACCGAGCAACGCCGCGUGAGUGAAGAAGGUUUUCGGAUCGUAAAGCUCUGUUGUAAGUCAAGAACGAGUGUGAGAGUGGAAAGUUCACACUGUGACGGUAGCUUACCAGAAAGGGACGGCUAACUACG
RNAcentral lists this ribosomal RNA (159 nucleotides) under Streptococcus salivarius. RNAcentral describes it as "partial 16S ribosomal RNA". It matches the Rfam family "Bacterial small subunit ribosomal RNA", at positions 355 to 505 of the family's 1533-position model. RNAcentral also lists the same sequence under 1 other name. Lineage: Bacteria; Bacillati; Bacillota; Bacilli; Lactobacillales; Streptococcaceae. The record is from RNAcentral.